GUUUAGGGGUAAACCUGAGAAACCCGAAAGGUCGAAGGGAGAAAUUCAUUCGCGUUUCGAGGCAGGCGACGAGCGGUCGCGCGACGGGAGACGUUUCGGCGUCGCCCGCGCCUUCCGCACGUCGAUCCGGUCGCGAACGCGUGCACUUUUCUUCCGGUAGGACGUCGCGAUCCGUCGGGCGUCGGUCUAAGGUUCGCGGUGGAGCCCGCCGGUCGCGUUUCGACGCGCGUACCGGCGAACCCGCGUUUAUUCCCGGCCGACUCGCUCGACGGUAAGCUAAAGGUUUAAGGCCGCUCUCCUUCGGGAGGAGCGUUCGGCCGACGGCAAGCGCGCCCGUCGCGUCGGCGAUCGGACCCGGUGCCGAUUCCGACCGCGGGUGACUGUUGGCCGUCGAGUUCUCGAACAGACCUUCGAACCGAUCAGCGACGCUAUAGCUUUGGGUACUUUCAGGACCCGUCUUGAAACACGGACCAAGGAGUCUAGCACGUACGCGAGUCAUUGGGAAUUUCUAAACCUAAAGGCGUAAUGAAAGUGAAGGUUUUCCUCGCGAAAACCGAGGGAAGACGGGCGCGUCGCCCUUAAAAGCGACCGCCUCGCAUUCCCGGGGCGUCUCGUUCUCAUCGCGAGAAGAGGCGCACCAAGAGCGUACGCGCUGGGACCCGAAAGAUGGUGAACUAUGCCUGGUCAGGACGAAGUCAGGGGAAACCCUGAUGGAGGUCCGUAGCGAUUCUGACGUGCAAAUCGAUCGUCGGAACUGGGUAUAGGGGCGAAAGACUAAUCGAACCAUC
This 788-nucleotide ribosomal RNA is filed under the name Curculioninae gen. sp. BHJ-2011. RNAcentral describes it as "eukaryotic LSU rRNA". It matches the Rfam family "Eukaryotic large subunit ribosomal RNA", at positions 407 to 944 of the family's 3401-position model. Lineage: Eukaryota; Metazoa; Arthropoda; Insecta; Coleoptera; Curculionidae. The record is from RNAcentral.